GCGGCUGUCGUAUAAUGGUUAUUACCCCAGCCUUCCAAGCUGGAGACGACGGUUCGAUUCCGUUCAGCCGCU
This 72-nucleotide transfer RNA is filed under the name Treponema sp. RNAcentral's name for it is "tRNA-Gly". It matches the Rfam family "tRNA". From Rfam's summary of the family: Transfer RNA (tRNA) molecules are approximately 80 nucleotides in length. Their secondary structure includes four short double-helical elements and three loops (D, anti-codon, and T loops). Further hydrogen bonds mediate the characteristic L-shaped molecular structure. tRNAs have two regions of fundamental functional importance: the anti-codon, which is responsible for specific mRNA codon recognition, and the 3' end, to which the tRNAs corresponding amino acid is attached (by aminoacyl-tRNA synthetases). tRNAs cope with the degeneracy of the genetic code in two manners: having more than one tRNA (with a specific anti-codon) for a particular amino acid; and 'wobble' base-pairing, i.e. permitting non-standard base-pairing at the 3rd anti-codon position. Lineage: Bacteria; Pseudomonadati; Spirochaetota; Spirochaetia; Treponematales; Treponemataceae. The record is from RNAcentral. RNAcentral also lists the same sequence under 1 other name.